This 253-nucleotide ribosomal RNA is filed under the name uncultured bacterium. Its description in RNAcentral is "partial 16S ribosomal RNA". It matches the Rfam family "Bacterial small subunit ribosomal RNA", at positions 524 to 776 of the family's 1533-position model. The record is from RNAcentral.
UACGUAGGGUGCAGGCGUUAAUCGGAAUUACUGGGCGUAAAGCGUGCGCAGGCGGUUUCUUAAGUCAGAUGUGAAAGCCCCGGGCUUAACCUGGGAACUGCGUUUGAAACUGGGAGACUUGAGUGUGGCAGAGGGGGGUGUAAUUCCACGUGUAGCAGUGAAAUGCGUAGAUAUGUGGAGGAACACCGAUGGCGAAGGCAGCCCCCUGGGUUAACACUGACUCUCAUGCACGAAAGCGUGGGGAGCAAACAGG